UGCUCCUUGGAUCAGUGGCGAACGGGUGAGUAACACGUGAGUAACCUGCCCCAAACUCUGGGAUAAGCACUGGAAACGGUGUCUAAUACCGGAUACGAGCUUCAGCCGCAUGGCUAGGAGUUGGAAAGAAUUUCGGUUUGGGAUGGACUCGCGGCCUAUCAGCUAGUUGGUGAGGUAAUGGCUCACCAAGGCGACGACGGGUAGCCGGCCUGAGAGGGUGACCGGCCACACUGGGACUGAGACACGGCCCAGACUCCUACGGGAGGCAGCAGUGGGGAAUAUUGCACAAUGGGCGCAAGCCUGAUGCAGCAACGCCGCGUGAGGGACGACGGCCUUCGGGUUGUAAACCUCUUUUAGUAGGGAAGAAGCGAAAGUGACGGUACCUGCAGAAAAAGCACCGGCUAACUACGUGCCAGCAGCCGCGGUAAUACGUAGGGUGCAAGCGUUGUCCGGAAUUAUUGGGCGUAAAGAGCUCGUAGGCGGUUUGUCGCGUCUGCUGUGAAAACCCGAGGCUCAACCUCGGGCCUGCAGUGGGUACGGGCAGACUAGAGUGCGGUAGGGGAGAUUGGAAUUCCUGGUGUAGCGGUGGAAUGCGCAGAUAUCAGGAGGAACACCAAUGGCGAAGGCAGAUCUCUGGGCCGUAACUGACGCUGAGGAGCGAAAGCAUGGGGAGCGAACAGGAUUAGAUACCCUGGUAGUCCAUGCCGUAAACGUUGGGAACUAGAUGUGGGGACCAUUCCACGGUCUCCGUGUCGCAGCU
This 760-nucleotide ribosomal RNA is filed under the name Cryobacterium arcticum. RNAcentral's name for it is "bacterial SSU rRNA". It matches the Rfam family "Bacterial small subunit ribosomal RNA", at positions 81 to 853 of the family's 1533-position model. Lineage: Bacteria; Bacillati; Actinomycetota; Actinomycetes; Micrococcales; Microbacteriaceae. The record is from RNAcentral.